RNAcentral lists this long non-coding RNA (1715 nucleotides) under Amphibalanus amphitrite. RNAcentral's name for it is "uncharacterized LOC122387595". Lineage: Eukaryota; Metazoa; Arthropoda; Thecostraca; Balanomorpha; Balanidae. The record is from RNAcentral.
CUCCAGAAAAAUGAGCCUUCAGUGCACAAGGGAUUCCAGAGAAAAACUGUUCGCGCGCGCUCAUGCAGGCGACGCCGUCGCCAUCACCAAUAGUCUCGCGCUCGGACGCCCAUCGGAUACAGACGGAGGAGAGUGAGGCGCUGGACGAGCCUGUCUCUUGCCGUGCUGAAGACGCUGCGUCGGAAGACCGUCAGUUCCGGUUGGUGAAUCUGGCUGCUCUGACUCCGUCCAGCUGGCCGACGAGCGAGUGCCUACACAGCAGCUCGCUGGCGCCGCCGUUGCGCGCGCGCGUCCAGACGGCAGUCGGCCCGCGGGCCAGCCUCGCAGCAUCUGUAGUGGCCGUGCUGCGCGGAGGAAUGCAUCCGGGAGCUGCCGGAUGAGGCCGUCUGGAUCUGUUCGGACGGGCCGGCGGAGGAUGGUUUGGCGGCGGUGGCUCCCUGCUCCGCUUACCAGAUGGAGACGACUGGGUUAUACGGGUUCCAGCGGGCCGCUUCUGCUCCAGUGCGCGCGCGGAGCUCACCGCGCCCCCGCCCCGGUCCAAGCCGCUACCAGAUGGAGACGACUGGGACAUAUGGGUCCCGGCGGGCCGCUUCUGCUCCAGUGCGCGCGCGGAGCUCACGGCGCCCCCGCCCCGGUCCGAGCUGCUACCAGGGAGAAGGCUGUUACACUUAUCAGCGCUGGUCGGGCCACUGGGGAUGAUCGGGGCAGCAUCUCCACCGGAUUGAAAGAAGGCCAACGUCCGAGUGCGCCCAGUGCAGUCAGCAGUGACACCGAAUGUCCAACAGGCCGCUGCCUGGUCUGCGGCGAAGCAGCAGACAAUUAGGGGCACGUGUUGCUGGAGUGUCCGUGCUCUUACGGCCUCCGGCUCCGUGCGCGGGGAAACAUCGUCCGCGCGGCCCACGAUGUCGAACGCGACGACAUGGUGGCGAUCUUGGUCGCCGGCUACGAGGCCCACAAGAGCCUUUUUUGGCUACGGCGGCAGCUUUGGGGACACCACAACAGCUGACGGCGGCCGCGGCCCCAGAGAUGCGCACCUGCGGGCAGGGCGGCCGCUGAUCCACAUCUCAGCUGAUUAUACCGAACAGACGGAGGAGACUGAGGCGCUGGACAACGAGUCUGUCUCUGGCCGUACUGAAGACGCUGCGUCGGAAGACCGUCAGUUCUGGUUGGUGAAUCUGGCUGCCUCUGACUCCGUCCAGCUGGCCGACGAGUGCGUGCCAAGACAGCCGCUCGCUGCCGCCGCCGCCGCCGCGCGCGCGCCAAGACGGCCGUCUACCGGCGCCGAUGCCGCCACGCGCACGCUAGACGCCCGUCCACUGGUGCCACCGCUCCACGCGCGCGCACAGUCGGCAGCCGCCGCGUGUGCGUGCCCGCCCAGAAUAUGCGCUCUGCCGCCGUUGACUGCAGCUCGAGAUUCAUGUUCAAGGCUUAGGCAUACACUCAUGUUAAUUGUCUACAUUCAUGAAGGUGCGUGGUGACAAAGAUGCCUCGUCUGUGGCAGCGGAUUUGCUUGUUCCGCCUCAACAUGUGCAAAGUUGCUAUGUAAACUGAUGCGCUCGGCAUUCGCCGUCCGCUCGCGCUGGUGGCGCGCGAAUGAAUGACCUGGCCCGGUUCAUGCGGACCUGACGAGCGGCGGUAUGACGCAAUCACAUAGGCGGAUUACCUUUCACCGCGAAGAAAAUCAUUAUCAGCUGGCUUAAAAUUAUGCAAUUGUU